UGAGGCCAGAGAUAGCUCAGUUGGUAAAGCAUCAGGGUUGUGGGUUUGAGUCCAAGGUUGGGCAAAAGAUUUCUGCAUUGCAGGGGGUUGGACUAGAUGACCCUCGUGGUCUCUUCCAACUCUACAAUUCUAUGAUUUAGGCCUGGAAAAUAACUAGGACACAAAGCUGGGGCUAUUUAGAGUAACUCAAGAGCUGGCAUAAAUGUCUCCCUUGCAAUUCCUUUCCAUUGGAAGCUAUUUGAAAAUCUCCCCAGGGACAGAUGUAAGAACUGCCCAAGGUAAUGCCAAAUUUAAUAAUAAUAAUAAUAGCAACAAUAACAAUAACAAUAGUAAUAAUUUAUUAUUUGUACCCCGCCCAUCUGGCUGGGUUUCCCCAGCCACUCUGGGCAGCUUCCACAAAGACCAAUGUGUUAUUUCCACAAAAGGGAAAGGAAUUUUUAUGUGUACUUGUUUUUUAUGUUUAAUGCAUAGUGUCUUAUUGCUUACACCCCUAUGGAGGAUUCUCAUGCUCUCUAAUGGAUCAGGCUAUUGUGUAGUCCACUAUUUAGAUUAGAUCACUUUAUAACCACUUUUUGUUGUCCGAACUGGCACUCUGCCAACCUUCCCUACCUAUUUUUAAAAUGUGCUAAAACCUCGUUUUACCAAGGACAGGCUUCUGGAUCCAUAACACCACCAGAUACAUGAAGGUGUAUAUGCUUUGGUUUAGCAGGAAUGAUCCCUUAUAGAGUUAAGUUGAUUUAUCUGGACAAGUGCCCUUUUAAAGAAUGGUCUUUUUUUAACAGAUUUGAUUUGGAAAGUUGGGAACCAUGGGCAUAUAUAAAUUCAAAUUGGACUCAGUUUGAAUUGGGCAAGUGUAUCCAGGCUGCAAUUAGCUUUUUGGUCCUUUAAGAGCAAGUGAACAAUUUCCCAUGAGUGCAAGACCAGAGCCUAUAAUAAUAAAAUCCCAUAGAAAGGCCAAGGCAAAGACAUCUCUCUCAUGACAUGUCCAAACCUGCGCUAGCUAUGGUAAGGGCCAGACAAGGCAUGGUCGAAUGAAAGCCCUUAGGGGAUUCACCAGGGACUGUCGCUGCUGUAGCACUAUGAUGGUAUAAGACCAGAGGAGAGCUAGCUUGCCACCUGAGAACACACAAAAACGGCGGAGGGCAAAGCAAACUGCAUUUUUCAAUCGUUAGUGGACCUUCCAGCUAAGUGUAAAGCAUAGACCACUACUGAGUAAAUGUUUUUCCCAAGGUAUUGGAAUGCCACAUUUACUCAGUAGUGGUCUAUGCUUUACACUUAGCUGAAAGGAGAGUUCCGUCAGGAGGACAAGGCUGGCAUUGAUUGAACAGGCUCAAAUGUUUAUUAUUCAAGGUUGUAAAGAGAUAAGCAGACUCAGGAAUGCACAUUGCCGUGGCGUGGUGGGGCUGGUGGGGCCAUUGCAGGAAGGAGGGGGGGCAAGCCCAUGUAAGGACAUAGGAACUUGAUAUAACUUUUGAUUUCCCAGAAAUCAGGUGGUAUUGUAUUCUGCAAAUGUAUAAAAGUGGGCGCACCCUGACUAGGGUAUGCAGAUUGCGAGCUGAACGCGCUGUGCCUUUGUCCUGCAUAUGCAUUUCAAAUAAAUACUGUUGAAUCCUGCAAGGUUGUUUGCCACUUCGUGUGAAUCUGUGCUCCAGGGACCCAAUAGCAGAUAUGGAAAAUGUCCAACACCAAGACCUCCCUUAAAGCAGUAGUGGAUCCCCAGAUGGAUUUCGCCAAUGGAAGAACAAGCCCCAAAAAAGUUAAAUAUGGAAAAUAAAUGGUUGAGAUACUCAGACGUACUGAUUGAGGAUCAGGAAGGUAUUAAGUUAAAACCGUUUGAUCAAAUUAAAGAUAAAGUGAAUUGGCUUCAAUAUUACCAAAUUAAUGAAUUAUUUAAGAUUGACAAGAAAAAUGGUUUUGCAACAGAAAAAACCAAAUUGGAAUCCUGAUGUGCAAUUUGUGGAAUUUCAACAACAACAACACAACAAAAUACUUAAUAAAAACAAGAACAGAAUGAAACCAAACCAAUCCCUACCCCUAAUUAGGUAUUAUCUAGAUAAAAAGCAAAAACUAAAGGACACAACUAAUUUAAAUCCAUUCAUUCCAAUAGGCUUACUCUUAGUAGAAUCUCACUGCUUUGUCACUACAACUCCUUGCAUUAUAGUGUUUGGGUAAUUUUAAAAAAAGAGACAUAUUUGUUCUGAAAUCCACUGGGGAGGCAUGUGUUGUUGUUAUUUUAAGAACCCAAAUAAUAAUCUUGUUUCUUUUGAUUUUUCCAUAAUAUCUAUUCUUUCCUUGCACAAUUAACUUAUCCUCCCAACUAUUUUCAUCAUAUAAAAAUAAAUUAUCUCCUUAAUCUCGUAAAUUCCAAUUAUGGGUGGGUGGGUUGGUUGGUUGGUUGGUUGGUUGGUUAGUUCUUCAAGGAAAUUUUGAAGCUGGGGUGUGUGUGUGCAGGAGGAAGUUGGGUGGAAAAAGUGCUGAGGCCCCCUUAAAUGAAGAGAGAGAGAGAGAGAGAGAGAGAGAGAGAGAGAGAGAAGCAAAACUGACUUUGCCAGGACUUCUAGGGAGUGUCUCCAAAGAACCAAAAAUGUCACAUUUUUUCAUGGGCAUUUUUCUUUUUGCACAGCAAGGGAGAGAAAGGAAGCAGUUGACAAUCUCAGAGCCAGAGAACAUGGGGCAUCUGUGGCCCUCCAGGCUGUUAUAGACUCCAAUGGGGGGAAGUGUGGUUUAGUAGUUAGAACACUGGACUGGGACUGGAGGUUUCGAAUCCUUGCCCCUCCACUGCUCCCUGCUGAGCCCUGAAACUCACCCACGGGGAUGUUGGGAGGGUGGGUAGGUGGCCGCCGGUUCUCUCAGCCUAGCCUACCUCACUGGGUCGUUGUGAGGACAGCAGAGAUAACCAUGUAGGCCGCCUGGAGGAAAGAUGGGACAUCGUUGCCCCUAACCAUUGGCCCUGCUGGCUGCAAGCAGAGCGGUGGCUGGGUCCCAAAAAGUCACCCAGUGAGCUUCAUAGCCAAGCAGAAGAUUUGAACCCCAGUGCCUCCCAGGUCCUAGUCUGGCAGUCUAACCACUAGGCCACACUCCCUCUCCACCUUCCUGCUUAAAGCAGCCCUUAAUUGGGGACCUAUGUUACUGCUUAAACCAGCUCUCUUUUUAGAACUGUGAACCUGGCUUUGCAUCGCCAUUAGCCUCACCGUAAAUUUAAGGCGCCCCCACCAAGAAUCCUGGGAACUGUAGAUUGUUAAAGGUGCUGGGAACUGCAGUAUUCUCAGGGUUCUGGAAACCAUAGCCUGCCAAGGGGUCUGGGAACUGCAGUUUCUUCGGUGAUCUGGGAACAACAGUGUGCCAAGGGAGCUGGGAACUGUAGUUUAAGGGUGCUGGGACCUGUAGCUCCCGGGGUGUGCGUGUGCACCCGUUUGCUUUAAACACAAUCCCGCAACCCAAAAGAAGGUUCAUCUUGAGGACUACACUCUUGUGCACUGAAAUGAAACUGCAAAACCUCUUCUCUCUCUCCUUUCCCACAGCGGAAUUGGGCGACGUCCGCUUGGGGACCCAACCCUCUCCAAUGUCUGGGCCCUGAUUCAGAGCUUAGGAAUUUGCAUCUGAUUGCUAUUUUGUCAUCCUAGGAUUUGUCUCUCCAGCCUUAGGCACCCAGCGACCCAGCAGGAGGUGGAGGAGGUGGCAAGGAGCCCCAGCCAGUCGCUUGUCAAAAGAAACUUGCAGAUGGGAGCCGGAGCAAGGAGGCUGCGCUGAAACCAAAGAAGGGAGGCGCAGCUUCCACACGCGCAGAACAAGGGCAAAAGGCGACAAACACGGAAUGACCUCAACCUGGUGGCUCAAUAAGGACCGGUCUCUUGGAGAGGGAUUUUUUUGGGGGGAGGGGAGCCCGCUUGGAUCACCUGUUUGGGCCUGCGUAAUUUUUUAAUUUCAGCAUGGAAGGAAAGAGAGGGGAAAUGAAGCUGUUCCAGCCACUGCCUUUUCAAGGUAAGACCUUCUUGGUCUUUUCUGGGUCUGGGUUAAAGGCGGAUCUACACGGAUCCUCAUGGAUCCUCCACUUUUUUUUAAAUAACUCCAACAAAUGCAGUGUCAAAUCACACCUGGAAGGCACGCCUACAGACUGGACUAUCAAAAACGUGGAUCCAACACUUUGCCGUACUGUAGCACCACAAAAACAUGGAUCCGAGGCAUGGAUCCUCAUGAAUUCAUAUUAUUUUUAUAUUGAAACAAAAUGAAAAACACCAUGAUACUGUAGACCACAUCUUAGUCUGUAGGCAGAACCAAAAAAAUCACGCAUCCAAUGUUUCUUGGUGCCGCAAUGGCCCAGAAAAAUGGUUAAAAAACACAGAUCCUCAUCGAUCCUCAUGAUUUUUUCACUAGAUCAGCCCAAAGUCACCAUCAGAUCAAACAUCAUGGCCAUGUGCACAGCAUCCACCACAAAAAGCUCGGAUCCACGGCUUCCUGGCCAUACCGUGGCCCAAAAAUGUGGAUCCUCAUGGAUCCUCAAACCUUUUGCAUUGGGCCACCCCUAAAUCACUGUCAAAUCACACAUCAUAGCCAAGAGCACAGCCUACACCACAAAAAACUCAGAUCCAUGGCUUCCUGGCCAUACCGUGGCCCAAAAACGUGGUUUUGAAGCAUGGAUCCUCAUGAUUUUUGCACUAGAUCAGCCCAAAGUCACUGUCAAAUCACAUGUCAUAGCCAGGGGCACAGCCUGCACCACAAAAAACUUGGAUCCACGGCUUCCUGGUCAUACCAUGGCCCAAAAAUGUGGUUUUGAAGCACGGAUCCUCAUGGAUCCUCUCCCUUUUUUCAUUGAGCCAAACCAAACUCACCAUCAACUCACACAUCAUGUCCAGGGGCACAGCCUGCACCACAAAAAAUCUCUGAAGCACGGAUCCUCAUGGAUCCUCAGGCUUUUUGCGUUGGGGAACCCCAAAUUCACCCUUUAUUCAGAUAUCUUGUACAUAACCACAGAUCUGACCACAAGCAUCAUGGAUCUACUGCUUCGUGGCCCUGGCCAGAUGCUACCCUGGAUAUAUUGGUCAAUUUUUAGGUGGGUGUGUUGGGAUGGAGGAAACGGAGUCGGCUGAAUCUCUAUCCAACAAAGAUGGGGGUCCAAUGGCUGGGUCAGAAUGAUUUUGGUUCAGUUUGCCAGCUCCCAGCUCUUCAUGGGGUGCAAAAGUCACCUGUAGCCGCCAUCAGGAGUCCCGGUGUGAUCCUGGAUGCUUCUGUCUCUAUGGAGGCAUUGGUCACAAAUGUAGCCAAACUGGCAUUUUUUAAUCUAUGUCAGGCUAGGCGAUUGGUACCGUACCUGUCCCUUUCCAACCUAGCCAUGGUGAUCCAUGCAGUAGUCACCUGCAGACUAGACUACUUUAACUUGCUCUACACCUGAGCCGGGGAGGGCAGGGUAUAAAUGCGAUAGAGAGAGAGAGAGAGAGAGAGAGAGAGAGAUGCAGGGCUACCCUUGAGACUGCUCCAGAAACUCCAAAUGGUCUAAAAUGCAGGUGCAUGAGUUCUUACUUGGACUUUGUGAAGAGCCCACAUUCAGCUGGUUGUUCAUCAGCUGGAUUGGUUCCAGGUGGAGUAUCAAAUCAGGUUCAAGGUUUUGGUGCUAAUCUUUAAAGCCCUAAACAGUGACCUUUCUUAUCUGUGGGAAUUAUCUUCCAAUACACCCCCCAUGAGUGUGAUGCUCAUCUAACAGCAACCUACUGGUGGUCCCUGGCCCAAAACCUAUCCAGCUGUCCUCAACCAGAGCCAGAACCUUUUUGGUGGAACGCUUUGUCUAAUGAGACCAGGGCUCAGUGCAAUCUAUCUCACUUCUCUCACUUGUCAUGGUGAGUGGGCUUGCACAUUCCUUUGACCCUUGUGAGCGAAGCCGUCGGGAAUCUCGUACUCCCAGCAGGGUCACCCAAGGCAGUAAGGUCAAAGAUAAUUAAAUAUGCUCAGAGUCCUGUAGUGAUUUCAUGCUCUUUAUUGCAGCUUGUAAAACAGUGACUGAAAUUUCCCCCAAACCUCAGGCUUUUAUAUACAUUAUUUACACAAUGAGUCCCGUCUGAUUGGCUGAUUCUGCUUCCCUCCUGGAGCCUGAUUGGUCUUUUCCUGCAAGCCAAUCAGUUCUUGCAUUCUAGGAUCCUACUUGCCUAUUCUUCUAGGAUCCAAGCUUAGUCCAUAACAGGGAAGGAGCUAGACAAAGAAUGAGCCAAGAAGUCCUCAAUGGCAGAACAGGCGGAUGAUAACAAGCGGUGUGUUACAACAGCUGUGAAGGUGGAUGAAGGCUGCAGCAGAUAGGAUCCACCAGUUCAUCAUGACUACUCAUGCCAUCAGAACAGAGCCCUACUGCAAAGACUGUACGUUGGUCAGCAAGCACUGAUCUACACACAUAAAACAAAUUCACGCACAGGCGUCUUCCAAAAACCCAAGCCAAACCCCAACCCCCCCAUGGCAAUCAGCAAAUGGCUACGGGGGCAGGAAUGUGAAAUCUGGAAGCCCCUAGCCAUGAACCAACACAUGGGCGGUGGAUACAAAUUCAGUCGUUCUGACUCAAGGAGUGAGGCAGUUGAGCAGCUCAGCAGCUGGAUUCCUCCCGUACUCCCUGGCGAGGUCUGUCACACGCAUUCCACCGUCGUGCUUCCGGAUGAUCUCCUUCUUCAUUUCCAGCGUAACCUUCUCCUUCUUCCCCUCGCCGGCCUCUGCAGCAGCAGUCUUCUUGGGUCCCAUGGCAGCACAGCUCCUACCUGCACAACCCCCAAAAAAUCAGUGCUUCACAUCCAAAAAAUUCAAAAGCACCCAGCCACCCACCACACAGAUAUUCAAACCCAGAACCAAGUCCUUGAAUUCUAAACACCCCAAUCCAAAAACCCCCCAAAAAGUUCUAAAAGUUUAACUUACCGAAUGGCUGAAAAAGAAGUUUUGGAAAAGCUUCAAAAAUCACCAAAGUCUUCAAAAACCUCAACUAUUCCCCCAGCCACCCACCACACAGAAAUUGCAAACCCCUCCCCAACUGUUCCCCCAGUCACCCACCACACAGAAAUUCAAACCCAGAUAUUUAAAAAACAAACAAACAACAGAGUGGCCCAAUGGUCACAGAAAAUCAUAAAAAUGCAGGAAAAACCACACAAGCUUCCAGAUUCUUGCAAACCCCUCCCCAACUGUUCCCCCAGCCACCCACCACACAGAAAUUCAAAUCCAGAAUUUUUUUUUAAAAAACAGCAGAGUGGCCCAAUGGUCACAAAAAAUCAUAAAAAUGCAGGAAGAAACCACAAGCUUCCAGAUUCUUGCAAACCCCUCCCCAACACCAAGUCCUUGAAUUCCAAACACCCCAACCCAAAAUCCAAAACCCCCCCAAAAAAGUUUUAAAAGUUUAACUUACCAAAUGGCUGCAAAAGAAGUUUUGGAAAAGCUUCAAAAAUCACCAAAGUCUUCAAAAACCUCAAAAAAGGCUACCACACUGCGUGCUAUGAGUUGCUCCUCGAAGUCAAGUCGCAACUGCACCUCUUCAAGCAAUGCACCCUGGGUAUUAACGGUUUUACGAAAAAGGAAACAAACUUGCAAUACGUUUUCGUCUUGCGAAGCAAGCCCAUAGGGAAAUUCGUCUUGCGAAGCACCUCAAAAAACGAAAAACCCUUUCGUCUAGCGAGUUUUUCGUCUUGCGAGGCAUUCGUCUUGCGGGGCACCACUGUAGAGAUGAGCUUGCUGUAUCUCCAAAUCUGGGAGAGCUGUGUACAGCUAUUAACCAAGUGAAAAACAACAAAGCCAGUGGACCUGAUGGGAUACCUGCUGAAAUCUUCAAAGUGGGUGGAAUUGAACUUACACAACAACUUCACAAGCGCAUCAAAAAACUCUGGGAGAGAGAAGCGAUCCCAGCAGACUUCAGGGAUGCCAAAAUUAUCAAUCUCUUUUUAAAAAGGUGACAGAACUGAUUGCGGAAACUAUCGAGGCAUCACUCUAUUAGCUGUGGCCGGCAAAAUUCUUGCAAGGAUCUUAACAAACCGUCUCUUAACAUUAUCCGAGGUGACCCUUCCUGAAUCCCAAAAUGGUUUUCAGCCUUCUAGGGGGACAGUGGACAUGAUUUUCACAGCUCAGCAACUUCAGGAAAAAUGCAGAGAGCAAAACCAACCUUGGUAUUCACACCAUGCCGCCAGCUCUAGUGGUGCAUCCAGCACCUCAGGGGGCCCCCUUGCUUGCUUAUGAGAAGAACUGGCUCUGCAUUCCAUACAAAAUGUUGUUGUGCCUGCUGUUUUCUGCAGAGACUGAAGAUUCCUUCCCCCAGGUUUUGGCCCUGCUCAAGAACCAGUUAAGCACUUCCAUGCCCCA
Molecule: long non-coding RNA, 8310 nt
Filed under: Podarcis lilfordi (Lilford's wall lizard)
Lineage: Eukaryota; Metazoa; Chordata; Lepidosauria; Squamata; Lacertidae
Source: RNAcentral